CUUCCCACCCACAGACUGGGAAGUAAUCCUAUAUAUAUUGGUUGUUCACCCUGUACUUAAAACCUUAAAGGUUCUCCUCAGCUCACUGACUUUUGUCACACAAACAAAGAAAAAUGCCAGAAGAAGUUCCUGCUCAGUGCAAGGUUCCCAAAGAUGAGCUGGACAAGUGUGUUCAAGGGAUAGGAGCAGAGGGCUGUAAGGAGCUGCUGGAAGCCUUUGAGGCCUGUGUGAAGGGGGCCACAGCGGCCUCGUGAGGGGGACAUGAUUUUACAUGUCCUUCCUUUCUGGGUCCUCCAGUGUCCUUGCAUUCCCUCACAUUGUACUGGACUGAACCAUUUUAAGGACAGUGAAAGGGGUGCAAGCCCUGGAAAGCAGUGGAAUUGUUUAUUUUGAUCCUGAGAAGUUGGUGUCCCUCAUGUUGUCCAUGUUAUUUGUAACUGUGAAAGAAAGAAGAACCCAGUUUUGUUAUUUUUUUUUAAUUUUUUCAAAAUGUACACUGUGAAAGAGCACAAUGCAUUUCAUCUGAUUUUGAAUAAAUUACUAUAAUUGUUUA
Molecule: long non-coding RNA, 553 nt
Organism: Ctenopharyngodon idella (grass carp)
Lineage: Eukaryota; Metazoa; Chordata; Actinopteri; Cypriniformes; Xenocyprididae
Exons: 3
Source: RefSeq, a predicted model, not a curated record